AAAGAAAGAGGGGGGCAUGCCUAACACAUGCAAGUCGAACGAGACCUUCGGGUCUAGUGGCGCACGGGUGCGUAACGCGUGGGAACCUGCCCUUAGGUUCGGAAUAACUCCCCGAAAGGGGUGCUAAUACCGGAUAAUGUCUUCGGACCAAAGAUUUAUCGCCUUUGGAUGGGCCCGCGUUGGAUUAGCUAGUUGGUAGGGUAAAAGCCUACCAAGGCGACGAUCCAUAGCUGGUCUGAGAGGAUGAUCAGCCACACUGGGACUGAGACACGGCCCAGACUCCUACGGGAGGCAGCAGUGGGGAAUAUUGGACAAUGGGCGAAAGCCUGAUCCAGCAAUGCCGCGUGAGUGAUGAAGGCCGUAGGGUUGUAAAGCUCUUUUACCCGGGAUGAUAAUGACAGUACCGGGAGAAUAAGCUCCGGCUAACUCCGUG
Molecule: ribosomal RNA, 433 nt
Filed under: uncultured bacterium
Lineage: Bacteria
Description: partial 16S ribosomal RNA
Rfam family: Bacterial small subunit ribosomal RNA
Source: RNAcentral